GAAGGACCGCAGAAUGCCAGGCUGGCGGGCAGAAAUACUGAAGCAGCCCAGAUAUUUGAUGAUUCACUGCAGACACUGCACUGACGCAGGCCCACCACCUAUAACAGCUACCCACUACCUACCGUAUUCCAGAAGCUGUGCAAUGAUGAUUAAGGCCCAGGACCUGGCUUCAGAAGUUUCACAUCUGACCCCACUGUGGAAUAAAGGAGAUGAUUCCAGUGCCAAGGGAAAGUAGAAAGCUACAGUUUCAGACUCUGCAAAUGAUGUAACCUACCUCUGGGUGUGUUGACCAACGGCAGAAAAUGGUGGAUGGAAUUGUUCCAACUCAGCAUGCAUCCUCCAGAAACUGGGUCCUUUCUUUUUUUUUUUUUUUUUUUUUUUUCAUCAAAGUUGAACUUUAUUGUUUCAAAGGACACUGCUAAGAAAAUGAAAAGCUAACAUAUUGAAUAGGAGAAGGUACUUGCAAAUUUUACCUCUUAUGAGGGACAUAUAUCCAGAAUAUAUAAAGAACUCUUAAAACUUAACCAUAAAAAGACAAACAAUUUAAAAAAGAGACAAAGGAUUUGAAUAGAAUUUUCUCCAAAAAGAUAUACAAAAUUGCCAAUAAACAUAUGAAAAGAUGUUCAACAUCACUAUCAUUAAGAAAAUGCAAAUUAAAAACACAGUGACAUGUCAUUUCACAUUCAUUACUAAGGCAAAAAUAUAAAGACAAACAAUAAUCAAUAUUAAAAGGCAUGUGGAGAAAUUAGAACUCUUGUACAUUGCUUGUGGGAAUGUAAAAUUGUGCACCCACUUUGCAUAACAGUUCGGCAAGAUGUUAAACAGUUCAAAAUAUUAAAAACAGCAUUACCAUAUAACCCAGAAAUUCCACUUCUGGGUAUAUCCUCAAGAUAAAUAAAAAUAUAGGUUCACAUAAAAACUUGUUUAUGAAUAUUCAUAGCAGCAUUGUUCAUAAUAACCAAGCACUGGAAACAACCCAGAUAUUUAUCAGUGGAUAACUGGAUAAACAGAUUGUGUAUCUGUACGUGGAAUAAUAGUAUUUAAAGGUAUUUAAAUAAUGCUUUAUCUUACAAUAUGGAUGAAUCUUGGGAACGACAUGCAAAGUGAAAGAAGUCCACCCAAG
Molecule: long non-coding RNA, 1123 nt
Organism: Hippopotamus amphibius kiboko
Lineage: Eukaryota; Metazoa; Chordata; Mammalia; Artiodactyla; Hippopotamidae
Exons: 4
Source: RefSeq, a predicted model, not a curated record